Molecule: small nucleolar RNA, 90 nt
Organism: Juglans regia (Persian walnut)
Lineage: Eukaryota; Viridiplantae; Streptophyta; Magnoliopsida; Fagales; Juglandaceae
Product: small nucleolar RNA U54
Exons: 1
Source: RefSeq, a predicted model, not a curated record
GGCUCAAUGAUUGUAUGCCCAGUUUUCUGGGAGAUUUAUACGCUAUUCUGAGCUCUACAUGUGCUGAAUAUAAGAUCAUUUAUGAGAGCU